CUGCUGCCUCCCGUAGGAGUCUGGGCCGUGUCUCAGUCCCAGUGUGGCCGUCCACCCUCUCAGGCCGGCUGCUGAUCGUCGCUUUGGUGGGCCGUUACCCCGCCAACUGGCUAAUCAGACGCGGGCCCAUCCUGUACCACCGGAGUUUUCAAAGGAUUACCAUGCGGUAUUCCCUAUUAUGCGGUAUUAGCACCUAUUUCUAAGUGUUAUCCCCCGGUACAGGGCAGGUUGCCCACGCGUUACUCACCCGACCGCCACUAAGACAGA
Molecule: ribosomal RNA, 267 nt
Filed under: uncultured bacterium
Lineage: Bacteria
Description: partial 16S ribosomal RNA
Source: RNAcentral